Molecule: ribosomal RNA, 502 nt
Filed under: uncultured bacterium
Lineage: Bacteria
Description: bacterial SSU rRNA
Rfam family: Bacterial small subunit ribosomal RNA
Source: RNAcentral
AACGAACGCUGGCGGCGCGCUUAACACAUGCAAGUCGAACGAGAAGGCGUAGCAAUACGCUUGUACAGUGGCGAACGGGUGAGUAAUACGUGGGCGACCUACCCUCGAGUGGGGAAUAACCCGCCGAAAGGCGGGCUAAUGCCGCGUACGCUUCCAUCUUUAUGGAGGUGGAAGGAAAGCCGUGCCGUGGGCACGGCGCUCAAGGAUGGGCUCACGUCCUAUCAGCUUGNGGUUGGGUAACGGCCUACCAAGGCUCCGACGGGUAGCUGGUCUGAGAGGACGAUCAGCCACACUGGCACUGCGACACGGGCCAGACUCCUACGGGAGGCAGCAGUGAGGAAUAUUGCGCAAUGGGCGAAAGCCUGACGCAGCGACGCCGCGUGGGGGGAUGAAGGUCUUCGGAUUGUAAACCCCUUUUCGGGGGGAAGAUGGGACGGGCAACCGUUCGGACGGUACCUCCAGAAGCAGCCACGGCUAACUUCGUGCCAGCAGCCGCCGUAAC